RNAcentral lists this ribosomal RNA (292 nucleotides) under uncultured bacterium. RNAcentral describes it as "partial 16S ribosomal RNA". It matches the Rfam family "Bacterial small subunit ribosomal RNA", at positions 505 to 796 of the family's 1533-position model. The record is from RNAcentral.
GUGCCAGCAGCCGCGGUAAGACAGAGGAUGCAAACGUUGUUCGGAAUCACUGGGCAUAAAGCGCACGUAGGCGGUCUGUUAAGUCAGGUGUGAAAUCCCCCGGCUCAACUGGGGAAUGGCAUUUGAUACUGGCAGGCUAGAGAACGGUAGGGGUGAGUGGAACUCCAGGUGGAGCGGUGAAAUGCGUAGAUAUCUGGAGGAACACCGGUGGCGAAAGCGGCUCACUGGACCGUCACUGACGCUGAGGUGCGAAAGCUAGGGUAGCAAACGGGAUUAGAUACCCCGGUAGUCC